Molecule: ribosomal RNA, 253 nt
Filed under: uncultured bacterium
Lineage: Bacteria
Description: partial 16S ribosomal RNA
Rfam family: Bacterial small subunit ribosomal RNA
Source: RNAcentral
UACGGAGGGUGCGAGCGUUGUUCGGAAUCACUGGGCGUAAAGCGCGUGUAGGCGGCCUUUUAAGUCUGAUGUGAAAGCCCGGGGCUCACCCCCGGAAGUGCAUUGGAAACUGGGAGGCUAGAGUACCGGAGAGGAAGGUGGAAUUCCUGGUGUAGCGGUGAAAUGCGUAGAUAUCAGGAGGAACACCGGCGGCGAAGGCGGCCUUCUGGACGGUGACUGACGCUGAGACGCGAAAGCGUGGGGAGCGAACCGG